UUAUAUAGUUUAAUGUAAAACAUUACAUUUUCAAUGUAAAAAUAAAUUAAUCAAUUUUAUAAA
RNAcentral lists this transfer RNA (63 nucleotides) under Cautires kirstenae. RNAcentral describes it as "tRNA-Glu". Lineage: Eukaryota; Metazoa; Arthropoda; Insecta; Coleoptera; Lycidae. The record is from RNAcentral.